This 261-nucleotide ribosomal RNA is filed under the name uncultured archaeon. RNAcentral's name for it is "partial 16S ribosomal RNA". It matches the Rfam family "Archaeal small subunit ribosomal RNA", at positions 748 to 1008 of the family's 1478-position model. The record is from RNAcentral.
CAGCCGUAAACAAUGUGCGUUAGGUGUGUCGGUAACCACGCGUUACUGAUGCGCCGAAGAGAAAUCGUGAAACGCACCACCUGGGAAGUACGGUCGCAAGGCUGAAACUUAAAGGAAUCGGCGGGGGAGCACCACAACAGGUGGAGCCUGCGGUUUAAUUGGAUUCAACGCCGGACAUCUCACCGGAUAAGACAGCUGAAUGAUUGUCAAUCUGAAGGUUUUACAUGACUAGCUGAGAGGAGGUGCAUGGCGUCAGUGACU